AGCUAAGCCUUCACUACUUAUUAAAAGAUUUUUGGGGCGGGGGUUCUUCCCAGACAGUGAACAAACUAUUGCCUGAGAAUAAAGUCCUCACACAUUACUGCCAAGCCUCUGGCUCACCAACUAAUUAUUAAAUAGCUUUCUGGGAACUUGGAAACUGCUGUAUCUCAUCCAAAAGUUUCCUGAGAGUCAUCCCAAACUGGCAGCCAGUUUAUUCUCAAAACCUAAUUUGCUUACUCGGUGAGUGGUUGUGGCUCAAAAGAUGUAGGGAAAAUAGUCAAGUAGAAGAGGAAAUCUUCAAAAAGUUCAUGGAAAGAUGCAUAUCAUCUUUCAAUUGUAUUUUUCCAUGAACAUUCUGAAGUACCCUUGUAUUUCUGUGCAGUUUUAAAAAUCUUUUUGUCAUUACCAAUAAAGCAUGAUAUUAUUUGACCAGUGUUUUUCUUGGCUCUGCACCUUCUAAGGAUGCUAAUACGGAUGGAACAUUUUUUAAAGGCUUAGUGUGAGAGCAGUACAUUGCCACAGGGAGAAAGCAGCAAAGAAGAAAAUAUGAAGGCUCUGCCAACAAAUUAAUUCAGCAGCUAACAUUUUUCUCAAACUGGUUAAAAAAAAUACUACACACAAAGUGAUAAAUAUAUGUCCAAAAAA
Molecule: long non-coding RNA, 642 nt
Organism: Galeopterus variegatus (Sunda flying lemur)
Lineage: Eukaryota; Metazoa; Chordata; Mammalia; Dermoptera; Cynocephalidae
Exons: 2
Source: RefSeq, a predicted model, not a curated record